Molecule: ribosomal RNA, 947 nt
Filed under: Lophiostoma jotunheimenense
Lineage: Eukaryota; Fungi; Ascomycota; Dothideomycetes; Pleosporales; Lophiostomataceae
Description: partial large subunit ribosomal RNA
Rfam family: Eukaryotic large subunit ribosomal RNA
Source: RNAcentral
AUUGACCUCGGAUCAGGUAGGGAUACCCGCUGAACUUAAGCAUAUCAAUAAGCGGAGGAAAAGAAACCAACAGGGAUUGCCCCAGUAACGGCGAGUGAAGCGGCAACAGCUCAAAUUUGAAAUCUGGCUCCUUUGGGGUCCGAGUUGUAAUUUGUAGAGGGUGCUUUGGCGUUGGUUGUGGUCUAAGUUCCUUGGAACAGGACGUCACAGAGGGUGAGAAUCCCGUACGUGGCCGCCAGCCUCCGCCGUGUAAAGCCCCUUCGAUGAGUCGAGUUGUUUGGGAAUGCAGCUCUAAAUGGGAGGUAAAUUUCUUCUAAAGCUAAAUAUUUGCCAGAGACCGAUAGCGCACAAGUAGAGUGAUCGAAAGAUGAAAAGCACUUUGGAAAGAGAGUCAAAAAGCACGUGAAAUUGUUGAAAGGGAAGCGCUUGCAGCUAGACGUGCCUUUGGUUGAUCAGCCGGACUUUUGCCCGGUGCACUCUUCCUUUGGCAGGCCAGCAUCAGUUUGGGCGGCUGGAUAAAGGUCUGUUAAACGUGACUUCCUUCGGGAAGAGCUUAUAGGGCAGACGACAUGCAGCCAGCCCGAACUGAGGUCCGCGCAUCUGCUAGGAUGCUGGCGUAAUAGCUGUAAGCGGCCCGUCUUGAAACACGGACCAAGGAGUCUAACAUCUAUGCGAGUGUUUGGGUGUCAAGCCCGAGCGCGUAAUGAAAGUAAUACGUAGGUGGGAACCUUUUAGGUGCACCAUCGACCGAUCUUGAUGUCUUCGGAUGGAUUUGAGUAAGAGCAUAGCUGUUGGGACCCGAAAGAUGGUGAACUAUGCCUGAAUAGGGUGAAGCCAGAGGAAACUCUGGUGGAGGCUCGCAGCGGUUCUGACGUGCAAAUCGAUCGUCAAAUUUGGGCAUAGGGGCGAAAGACUAAUCGAACUAUCUAGUAGCUGGUUCCUGCCGA